RNAcentral lists this ribosomal RNA (1372 nucleotides) under uncultured bacterium. Its description in RNAcentral is "bacterial SSU rRNA". It matches the Rfam family "Bacterial small subunit ribosomal RNA", at positions 28 to 1381 of the family's 1533-position model. The record is from RNAcentral.
GAUAAACGCUGGCGGCGUGCCUAAUACAUGCAAGUCGAGCGAACGGACGAGAAGCUUGCUUCUCUGAUGUUAGCGGCGGACGGGUGAGUAACACGUGGAUAACCUACCUAUAAGACUGGGAUAACUUCGGGAAACCGGAGCUAAUACCGGAUAAUAUUUUGAACCGCAUGGUUCAAAAGUGAAAGACGGUCUUGCUGUCACUUAUAGAUGGAUCCGCGCUGCAUUAGCUAGUUGGUAAGGUAACGGCUUACCAAGGCAACGAUGCAUAGCCGACCUGAGAGGGUGAUCGGCCACACUGGAACUGAGACACGGUCCAGACUCCUACGGGAGGCAGCAGUAGGGAAUCUUCCGNCAUGGGCGAAAGCCUGACGGAGCAACGCCGCGUGAGUGAUGAANGUCUUCGGAUCGUNAAACUCUGUUAUUAGGGAAGAACAUAUGUGUAAAGUACUGUGCACAUCUUGACGGUACCUAAUCAGAAAGCCCACGCUUACUACGUGCCAGCAGCCCGCGGUAUACGUAGGUGGCAAGCGUUAUCCGGAAUUAUUGGGCGUAAAGCCCGCGUAGGCGGUUUUUUAAGUCUGAUGUGAAAGCCCACGGCUCAACCGUGGAGGGUCAUUGGAAACUGGAAAACUUGAGUGCAGAAGAGGAAAGUGGAAUUCCAUGUGUAGCGGUGAAAUGCGCAGAGAUAUGGAGGAACACCAGUGGCGAAGGCGACUUUCUGGUCUGUAACUGACGCUGAUGUGCGAAAGCGUGGGGAUCAAACAGGAUUAGAUACCCUGGUAGUCCACGCCGUAAACGAUGAGUGCUAAGUGUUAGGGGGUUUCCGCCCCUUAGUGCUGCAGCUAACGCAUUAAGCACUCCGCCUGGGGAGUACGACCGCAAGGUUGAAACUCAAAGGAAUUGACGGGGACCCGCACAAGCGGUGGAGCAUGUGGUUUAAUUCGAAGCAACGCGAAGAACCUUACCAAAUCUUGACAUCCUUUGACAACUCUAGAGAUAGAGCCUUCCCCUUCGGGGGACAAAGUGACAGGUGGUGCAUGGUUGUCGUCAGCUCGUGUCGUGAGAUGUUGGGUUAAGUCCCGCAACGAGCGCAACCCUUAAGCUUAGUUGCCAUCAUUAAGUUGGGCACUCUAAGUUGACUGCCGGUGACAAACCGGAGGAAGGUGGGGAUGACGUCAAAUCAUCAUGCCCCUUAUGAUUUGGGCUACACACGUGCUACAAUGGACAAUACAAAGGGCAGCGAAACCGCGAGGUCAAGCAAAUCCCAUAAAGUUGUUCUCAGUUCGGAUUGUAGUCUGCAACUCGACUACAUGAAGCUGGAAUCGCUAGUAAUCGUAGAUCAGCAUGCUACGGUGAAUACGUUCCCGGGUCU